AGUGAACGCUGGCGGCGUGCUUAACACAUGCAAGUCGAACGAGAACGGAUUAUAGCUUGCUAUAAUUGUCAGCUAAGUGGCGCACGGGUGAGUAAUGUAUAGGUAAUAUGCCUCUUACUAAGGGAUAACAAAUGGAAACGUUUGCUAAUACCUUAUACUCCUUAUUAACAGAAGUUAAUAAGGGAAAGAUUUAUUGGUAAGAGAUUAGCCUGUAUUGUAUCAGUUAGUUGGUGGGGUAAUGGCCUACCAAGACUAUGACACAUAACUGGUUUGAGAGGAUGAUCCGUCACACUGGAACGGGGACACGGUCCAGACUCCUACGGGAGGCAGCAGUGGGGAAUAUUGCACAAUGGACUAAAGUCUGAUGCAGCAACGCCGCGUUGAGGAUGACACAUUUCGGUGCGUAAACUCCUUUUAUAUUAGAAGAUAAUGACGGUAUUAUAUGAAUAAGCACCGGCUAACUCUGUGCCAGCCGCCGCCGUAA
Molecule: ribosomal RNA, 484 nt
Filed under: uncultured bacterium
Lineage: Bacteria
Description: partial 16S ribosomal RNA
Rfam family: Bacterial small subunit ribosomal RNA
Source: RNAcentral